RNAcentral lists this ribosomal RNA (440 nucleotides) under uncultured bacterium. RNAcentral's name for it is "partial 16S ribosomal RNA". It matches the Rfam family "Bacterial small subunit ribosomal RNA", at positions 338 to 795 of the family's 1533-position model. The record is from RNAcentral.
CCUACGUGAGGCAGCAGUGGGGAAUAUUGCACAAUGGGGGAAACCCUGAUGCAGCGACGCCGCGUGAGUGAAGAAGUAUUUCUGUAUGUAAAGCUCUAUCAGCAGGGAAGAAAAUGACGGUACCUGACUAAGACGCCCCGGCUAACGACGGGACAGAAGCCGCGGUAAUACGUAGGGGGCAAGCGUUAUCCGGAUUUACUGGGUGUAAAGGGAGCGUAGACGGCCAGACAAGUAAGAAGUGAAAGCCCAGGGCUCAACCCUGGGACUGCUUUUGAAACUGCCGGGCUGGAGAGUAGGAGAGGUAAGCGGAAUUCCUAGUGUAGCGGUGAAAUGCGUAGAUAUUAUGAGGAACACCAGUGGCGAAGGCGGCUUACUGGACUGUAACUGACGUUGAGGCUCGAAAGCGUGGGGAGCAAACAGGAUUAGAUACCCUUGUAGUC